GGGGCGCCUACACAUGCAGUCGAGCGGUAACAUUUCAAAAGCUUGCUUUUGAAGAUGACGAGCGCGGACGGGUGAGUAAUGCCUAGGAAAUUGCCCUGAUGUGGGGGAUAACCAUUGGAAACGAUGGCUAAUACCGCAUGAUGCCUACGGGCCAAAGAGGGGGACCUUCGGGCCUCUCGCGUCAGGAUAUGCCUAGGUGGGAUUAGCUAGUUGGUGAGGUAAUGGCUCACCAAGGCGACGAUCCCUAGCUGGUCUGAAGGAUGAUCAGCCACACUGGAACUGAGACACGGUCCAGACUCCUACGGGAGGCAGCAGUGGGGAAUAUUGCACAAUGGGCGCAAGCCUGAUGCAGCCAUGCCGCGUGUAUGAAGAAGGCCUUCGGGUUGUAAAGUACUUUCAGUCGUGAGGAAGGUGGUGUUGUUAAUAGCAACAUCAUUUGACGUUAGCGACAGAAGAAGCACCGGCUAACUCCGUGCCAGCAGCCGCGGUAAUACGGAGGGUGCGAGCGUUAAUCGGAAUUACUGGGCGUAAAGCGCAUGCAGGUGGUUCGUUAAGUCAGAUGUGAAAGCCCGGGGCUCAACCUCGGAACUGCAUUUGAAACUGGCGGACUAGAGUACUGUAGAGGGGGGUAGGAUUUCAGGUGUAGCGGUGAAAUGCGUAGAGAUCUGAAGGAAUACCGGUGGCGAAGGCGGCCCCCUGGACAGAUACUGACACUCAGAUGCGAAAGCGUGGGGAGCAAACAGGGUUAGAUACCCUGGUAGUCCACGCCGUAAACGAUGUCUACUUGGAGGUUGUGGCCUUGAGCCGUGGCUUUCGGAGCUAACGCGUUAAGUAGACCGCCUGGGGAGUACGGUCGCAAGAUUAAAACUCAAAUGAAUUGACGGGGGCCCGCACAAGCGGUGGAGCAUGUGGUUUAAUUCGAUGCAACGCGAAGAACCUUACCUACUCUUGACAUCCAGAGAAUCCAGCGGAGACGCAGGAGUGCCUUCGGGAGCUCUGAGACAGGUGCUGCAUGGCUGUCGUCAGCUCGUGUUGUGAAAUGUGGGUUAAGUCCCGCAACGAGCGACCUUAUUUUGCCAGCGAGUAUCGGCUCAGGGACUGCGAACGAGAGUGGGACGACGAGUCAUCAUGCACGAUAGGUGU
RNAcentral lists this ribosomal RNA (1143 nucleotides) under uncultured Vibrio sp. RNAcentral describes it as "bacterial SSU rRNA". It matches the Rfam family "Bacterial small subunit ribosomal RNA", at positions 41 to 1209 of the family's 1533-position model. The record is from RNAcentral. Lineage: Bacteria; Pseudomonadati; Pseudomonadota; Gammaproteobacteria; Vibrionales; Vibrionaceae.